This 420-nucleotide ribosomal RNA is filed under the name Triticum aestivum (bread wheat). RNAcentral describes it as "partial small subunit ribosomal RNA". Lineage: Eukaryota; Viridiplantae; Streptophyta; Magnoliopsida; Poales; Poaceae. The record is from RNAcentral.
GGCGAGAACACGCAGGGUAUCUCCAUGAAUCGUGUGGACUUCGCGCCCGGGGGCACCAACCCACCGCACAUCCAUCCGCGCGCCACGGAGAUUGGCCUCGUGGUGAAAGGCAAGCUCCUUGUGGGGAUCAUCGACAGCAACGAGUCCGGGAACAAGCUCCACUCCAGGGUGGUGCACGCCGGGGAGAACUUCUUCAUCCCGCGCGGCCUCAUGCACUUCCAGUUCAACGUCGGUAAGACGGAGGCCUCCAUGGUCGUCUCCUUCAACAGCCAGAACCCCGGCAUCGUCUUCGUGCCGCUCACGCUCUUCGGCUCCGACCCGCCCAUCCCCACGCCGGUGCUCACCAGGCUCCGGGUGGACGUCGAGGUGGUCGAACUUCUCAAGUCCAGGUUCACUGGUGGGUCUUUCCAGGCCUCCUAA